AUACGGAGGAUCCGGGCGUUAUCCGGAUUUAUUGGGUUUAAAGGGUGCGCAGGCGGCCAUUUAAGUCAGCGGUUAAAUCGUGGGGCUCAACCCCAUUCUGCCGUUGAUACUGGGUGGCUUGAUUGCGGUCGAGGUUGGCGGAAUUCGUUGUGUAGCGGUGAAAUGCAUAGAUAUGACGAAGAACACCGAUUGCGUAGGCAGCUGACCAGACCGCAAAUGACGCUCAUGCACGAAAGUGCGGGGAUCGAACAGGAUUAGAUACCCUGGUAGUCCGCACAGUAAACGAUGAAUACUUGUUUUCGGCGAUAUAAUGUCGGAGGCAAAGCGAAAGCGAUAAGUAUUCCACCUGGGGAGUACGCCGGCAACGGUGAAACUCAAAUGAAUUGACGGGG
This 392-nucleotide ribosomal RNA is filed under the name uncultured bacterium. RNAcentral's name for it is "partial 16S ribosomal RNA". It matches the Rfam family "Bacterial small subunit ribosomal RNA", at positions 523 to 918 of the family's 1533-position model. The record is from RNAcentral.